Molecule: transfer RNA, 72 nt
Organism: Capsaspora owczarzaki ATCC 30864
Lineage: Eukaryota; Filasterea; Ministeriida; Capsasporidae
Rfam family: tRNA
About the family: Transfer RNA (tRNA) molecules are approximately 80 nucleotides in length.
Source: Rfam
GUCCGUGUAGCGAAGUGGUAUCGCGGCCGCCUCCUAAGCGGCAGAUCGCGGGUUCGAUCCCCGCCUCGGAUA